GGGCGGUUAGCUCAGUUGGUUAGAGCGUCUGCUCGACACGCAGGAAGUCGGAGGUUCGAAUCCUCUACCGCCCACCA
RNAcentral lists this transfer RNA (77 nucleotides) under Lentisphaeria bacterium. Its description in RNAcentral is "tRNA-Val". It matches the Rfam family "tRNA". From Rfam's summary of the family: Transfer RNA (tRNA) molecules are approximately 80 nucleotides in length. RNAcentral also lists the same sequence under 1 other name. Lineage: Bacteria; Pseudomonadati; Lentisphaerota; Lentisphaeria. The record is from RNAcentral.